GCUAAACGCGAAGAACCUUACCAGGCCUUGACAUGCAGAGAACUUUCCAGAGAUGGAUUGGUGCCUUCGGGAACUCUGACACAGGUGCUGCAUGGCUGUCGUCAGCUCGUGUCGUGAGAUGUUGGGUUAAGUCCAUCAACGAGCGCAACCCUUAUGAGUAGUUGUAUUUCUCUACUCAGACUGCCCUGGUAACAGGGAGGAAGGAGGGGAUGAUGUCAGGUCAGUAUCUCCCUUACGUCUGGGGCUACAAACACGCUACAAUGGCCGGUACAAAGGGCAGCCAACCCGCGAGGGGGAGCGAAAUCCCAUCAAAGCCGGUCUCAGUUCGGAUUGGAGUCUGCAACUCGACUCCAUGAAGCUGGAAUCGCUAGUAAUCGUGGAUCAGCAUGCCACGGUGAAUACGUUCCCGGGUC
Molecule: ribosomal RNA, 413 nt
Filed under: uncultured bacterium
Lineage: Bacteria
Description: bacterial SSU rRNA
Rfam family: Bacterial small subunit ribosomal RNA
Source: RNAcentral